CUAGCCGAGCUAGAUGAUCUAUCUACAUACAUGAUCCAAAGCUCUUCAUGCUCUCCCCUCUUCCAAUCUUCAAAUUAAUUUCUGUCGGCUCUUCCUCAUCGAUGGUACAUUCAAGAAUGAAAUCUACAAGCAUCUAUGCUUUAAUUGAAGGUCAAGAUGGAAAUUUCACAUCAAACUCUAACAAUUCAAUGGCCCACUUGGCCACCCAACCAGAUGUAUUAGAUUGGUGGAGCACCAUGUUCAAGGGCUGGUCG
This 254-nucleotide long non-coding RNA is filed under the name Elaeis guineensis (African oil palm). RNAcentral describes it as "long non-coding RNA (EGUI_LNC005015)". The record is from RNAcentral. Lineage: Eukaryota; Viridiplantae; Streptophyta; Magnoliopsida; Arecales; Arecaceae.